Molecule: ribosomal RNA, 256 nt
Filed under: uncultured bacterium
Lineage: Bacteria
Description: partial 16S ribosomal RNA
Rfam family: Bacterial small subunit ribosomal RNA
Source: RNAcentral
GACGUAGGUGGCGAACGUUAUCCGGAAUUAUUGGGCGUAAAGGGUGCGUAGACGGCAUAAUAAGUUAUCAGUGGGAAAUCGAGGCUCAACCUCGUGGAAGUUGGUAAUACUGUUUUGCUUGAGUACAGGAGAGGUUAACGGAACUCCAUGUGGAGCGGUAAAAUGUGUAGAUAUAUGGAAGAACAUCAAUAACGGCGAAGGCAGUUAACUAUUCUGUUACUGACGUUGAGGCACGAAAGCGUGGGGAGCAAAAAGG